CACUAUGGUCUUGUAGUGGAUGUGCGCUUCGACUAGAAACCAAUUGAGUGUUCAGAUGAGCAGUGAGACAUGGGAGAACUUGGGAAGGUUGAACACCAGAUGGGCUGCGGUGUUGUGGAUAAAUUGCGGGGGUUCGAUGGGACAAGAACGGAGCCCAGCCAACAGAGUUGCGGUAGUCCAGACGGAAUAUGACGAGUGCCUGGAUUAGGACCUGCGCAGCUUCCUGUGUGAGAAAAGUUUGUUGUAGAGCAUGAACCUGCAGGAGCGAGUCACUGUUUUGAUGUUUGCAGAGAAUGACAGGAUGUUGUCUAGGGUCAAGCCAGGAUUCUUUUCACUCGGAGGGGGAGACCGUCUUUUCAGAAUGUAAUUACUUUUUUUGCUAUGUAGCGGUGUAGCUAACUACUGGAACUACACACUACUGUUUUUGCAAAAAGAAAUGGAUACCCUCCCCCUACCCGUGGUGUUGGAAGAGGCUGUAUUGGGAGAAGGAUGCAUCAACACCCUGGACAUAUGAUUGGGGUGCACUCACUCAACACUCUUUUUGCAGUGAUAAAUGAGUGUAUUGUCUUCAGGAUUCUUAAGGACUGUGGACACACCAAGCGACACGACAAAGCUUGAGCAGUAGCCUGGUCUUGCCAGGCACAUGAAGGAGACCGCGAUUCAGAGGGCUCAGUGGUCCAGACAGAAUGGGGCCAAGACAGUCGAUAGUCCAAGAGUAUCCAUGUCUUCUGGAUACUUCAGGCAUGCCCCCCGUGGGAAUCGAACCCACAACCCUGGAGUUGCACACACCAUGCUCUACCAACUGAGCCACAGGGAAGGCCAACUUCAGAGAUUUGAAGAGGUCUAGGGGGCGGAUGUCCUACGGAGACGAUCCCCACCUGCUUCAAGAUGUCCACGAUCUUCCCCGUGCCAAGAAACGGAAAGUAACUGAACUGAAUGAUUACUGACCCGUAGUACUCACGUCCAUCAUCAUGAAGUGAUUCGAGAGGCUAGUCAAAGACCACAUCACCUCUUCCCUCCCUGACACACUCAACCCUCUCCAAUUCGCCUACCGCCCUGACAGAUCCACGGACGAUGCAAUCGCCAUUGCACUACACACUGCCCUCACCCACCUGGACAAAGGGAAUGCAUAUGUGAGGAUGCUGUUCAUCAACUACAGCUUGGACUUCAAUACCAUAGUGCCCUCUAAGCUCACCACAAAGCUCAUGGCCCUGGGACUGAACUCCUCCCUAUGCAACUGGAUCCUGGACUUCCUGAAGGGCCGUCCCCAGGUGGUGAAGGUAGACAACAUCACCUCCUCAACACUGAUUCUCAACACGGGGAGGUAGGCAGCCAGGUAAACAACCUCUCCCUCAACGUGAGCAAAACAAAGGUGCUGAUUGUGGACUUCAGUUGGAUCCAGGCUGGUCACGCCCUCAUCAACGGGCUGCUGUGUAAAGUUCUUCUGUGUACACAUCUCCGAGGAGCUGAAAUGGUUUAUCAUUGCUAGAGUUGUUAAUAUGUAUCUUAUUCUUUUUUUUAAUUUUUUUAUUAUAAAUGUUUUAUUUCACUGCAUUGUUGGAACUCGGAUCUCAAGAAUUUCACUGUACCCUGUAAUUACAUCUGCAACCUUGUACAUGUGACUAUUAAACUAAUCUAAAUAAUACAAAAAAAUGUUUUUGGAUUGCCCCGGUCGAGACGCAUUUAAUGGUACCAGAUCAAUUUACUUCUUCUUCUGUGGAUUUUUUAUGGCAGUUGGCAACCAACUUUAAUGUGCAUUACUGCCACCAAAUGGACUGGAGU
This is a non-coding RNA of Salmo salar (Atlantic salmon), 1782 nucleotides long. The record is from RefSeq and is a predicted model, not a curated record. NCBI's taxonomy places the organism in Eukaryota, Metazoa, Chordata, Actinopteri, Salmoniformes, Salmonidae.